GACGAACGCUGGCGGCGUGCUUAACACAUGCAAGUCGAACGGGUCUGCCCUGUUUUUUGCGGGGUGGGUCAGUGGCGAACGGGUGAGUAACACGUGAGUAACCUGCCCCUCACUUCUGGAUAACCGCUUGAAAGGGUGGCUAAUACGGGGUGUUCUGGCUGUGCCGCAUGGUGUGGCUGGGAAAGAUUCCCUUUUGUGGUGUUUUGGUGGGGGAUGGGCUCGCGGCCUAUCAGCUUGUUGGUGGGGUGAUGGCUUGCCAAGGCUUUGACGGGUAGCCGGCCUGGGAGGGUGGGCGGUCUGACUGGGACUGAGAUACGGCCGGGACUCAUGCGGGAGGCAGCAGUGGGGGGUAUGGAGCAAUGGGCGGAAGCCUGAUGCAGCGACGUGGCGUGAGGGAUGGCGGCCUUCGGGUUGUGAACCUCUUUCGCCGGUGAAGAAGGUCCUGCUCUUUGUGGUGGGGUUGACGGUAGCCGGGUUAUGAAGCGCCGGCUAACUACGUG
This 500-nucleotide ribosomal RNA is filed under the name uncultured bacterium. Its description in RNAcentral is "partial 16S ribosomal RNA". It matches the Rfam family "Bacterial small subunit ribosomal RNA", at positions 28 to 507 of the family's 1533-position model. The record is from RNAcentral.